UCAAGCUACCAAGGGCACACGGUGGAUGCCUUGGCGCUGGGAGCCGAUGAAGGACGUGGCAAGCUGCGAUAAGCCUCGGCGAGCUGCAAGCAAGCGUUUGAACCGGGGAUAUCCGAAUGGGGAAACCCGCCGCGGGGAAUGCCGCGGCAUCCAUGCCUGAACACAUAGGGCAUGGAAGGGAACCGGGGGAACUGAAACAUCUAAGUACCCCGAGGAAAAGAGACAAUAUUGCAUUCCGUAAGUAGCGGCGAGCGAAAGCGGAGGAGCCUAAACCUUGUGCGCGUGAUAGCCUGCAGGCGUUGCGCACGGGGGGUUGCAGGAGCGGCCGGGGAUCUCUGCAGGGAUCCGUCCGACACGAAGGUCUUUAGCCGAACGGCCUGGAACGGCCGGCCACAGGGGGUGAAAGCCCCGUAGGCGAAAGGGAUCUUCUGCGGAUGGCCGCCGCCUAAGUACCGCGGGACACGUGAAAUCCCGCGGGAAUCCGGGAGGACCACCUCCCAAGGCUAAAUACUACCCGGCGACCGAUAGUGAACUAGUACCGUGAGGGAAAGGUGAAAAGCACCCCGGGAGGGGAGUGAAAUAGUACCUGAAACCGUGUUGCCUACAAACAGUGGGAGGGCUAUGGUCGUAAGACCAGCCUGACCGCGUACUUUUUGUAGAACGGACCGGCGAGUUACGGUGUGCGGCAAGGUUAAGCGGAUAACGCGGAGCCGAAGCGAAAGCGAGUCUUAACAGGGCGAAUUAGUCGUACGCUGUAGACCCGAAACCGGGCGAUCUAUCCAUGGCCAGGGUGAAGCGGAAGUAACGUUCCGUGGAGGCCCGAACCCAUUAGUGUUGAAAAACUAUGGGAUGAGCUGUGGAUAGGGGUGAAAAGCCAAUCGAGCUCGGAGAUAGCUGGUUCUCCCCGAAAUAGCUUUAGGGCUAGCCUCGGGAAUAGGCUUGCGGAGGUAGAGCACUGAUCGGGCAAGGGGCCCUGAAAGGUUACCGACCCCUUUCAAACUCCGAAUGCCGCAAGCUGGUGCCCGGGAGUCAGACUGUGGGGGCUAAGCUUCAUAGUCGAGAGGGAAACAGCCCAGACCGCCGGCUAAGGUCCCAAAUUGACAGCUAAGUGGUUAAGGAUGUGGAACUGCCCAGACAACCAGGAUGUUGGCUUAGAAGCAGCCAUACAUUUAAAGAGUGCGUAAUAGCUCACUGGUCGAGUGGGUCUGCGCCGAAAAUGUCCGGGGCUCAAGCUGUCAACCGAAGCCGCGGAACUCUAAUCAAGGGUUGGUAGGGGAGCGUUGCCUGCCGGCUGAAGCACGACCGAAAGGACGUGUGGACGGCAGGGAAGUGAGAAUGCCGGUAUGAGUAGCGAAAAGGCAGGUGAGAAUCCUGCCCGCCGUAAGCCUAAGGUUUCCUGAGGAAGGUUCGUCCUCUCAGGGUAAGCCGGGGCCUAAGCCGAGGCCGAAGGGCGUAGGCGAUGGACAACGGGUUGAAAUUCCCGUGCCGCCUCGGUCGCGCUUGAGCGAAGCGGGGACGCAGAAGGGUAGGCGCAGCAGGCUGAUGGAAUAGCCUGUCCAAGCGAGUAGGGUGUGCCGUAGGUAAGUCCGCGGCACAAAAGCCCGAGACGCGAGUGGGUGCGGAUACGUCCGCUGAACUGGCCAAUCCCAUGCUGCCAAGAAAAGCCGCUAGCGAGCGACCAGGCGCCCGUACCGCAAACCGACACAGGUAGGCGAGGAGAGGAUCCUAAGGCGCGCGAGAGAACCCUCGUUAAGGAACUCGGCAAAAUGGCCCCGUAACUUAGGGAUAAGGGGCGCCCCGUUAGGGUGUAGGGCCACACGCCCGAAGCCUGAGGGGGCCGCAGUGAAACGGCCCGAGCGACUGUUUACCACAAACACAGGUCUCUGCUAAGUCGCAAGACGAAGUAUAGGGGCUGACGCCUGCCCAGUGCCGGAAGGUUAAGGGGAGGGCUUAGCGGCAACGCGAAGGUCUGAACCGAAGCCCCGGUGAACGGCGGCCGUAACUAUAACGGUCCUAAGGUAGCGAAAUUCCUUGUCGGGUAAG
Molecule: ribosomal RNA, 2043 nt
Filed under: activated sludge metagenome
Description: bacterial LSU rRNA
Rfam family: Bacterial large subunit ribosomal RNA
Source: RNAcentral